RNAcentral lists this long non-coding RNA (1863 nucleotides) under Acyrthosiphon pisum (pea aphid). RNAcentral's name for it is "uncharacterized LOC115033501". The record is from RNAcentral. Lineage: Eukaryota; Metazoa; Arthropoda; Insecta; Hemiptera; Aphididae.
CGGACUUUAUUUCAAAAAAUAUAAAAUUGCAUUUUUUUUUAAGUGCACUUUUUUCCGGGUUAUCAAUGACAUAGUUCAUUAUCCCGUGCGGGAUAAUAAUAAUAUAAUAUAGGCAUAAAUCUACACAGGUUUUGGUUUGGACCAACGAAUUAGGUAUUCUCUCAAAUAUAUUUGUAUACGAACGAAUGAAUGAUUUCUUAAUUUCUUAAAAUACUGAUUAUGACAUUAUGUAGCACACAGCCAACAAAUCCACAACUCUAUAUAAUUGAUAAAUAUACAAAUAAAAUAUUUAUAAUUUAUUAUGUAAUAAAUAAUAGACUAUAGUUGAUUAAACAAAAACAAAUGUCGUAAAAAUGUGUCACUCAUAAAGUUCCACCGUAAAUAUGGGCCUGAUUAGUGUCAUAAUAUAGUGGCAUUAAUUAUUGAAGAUAUAAAUCCUACUACUCUAUUGUAUUGAGUGUAUUAUUUGUCUUUUACGUCAAUUAUGAUAUAUUGAUGAAUGGUAAAGACGGUUCAGCAGUGGAGUACCUAUAAUCGCUACCGCAUAUACUCCCAGUUUAUUAAUUAUUACUUAGUCACACACUAACGUCUAAUAUUACUUACUCAUUAUAGUGAUUAGUGUCAUUACUCAUUAUUACAUGAUAUAAUAUUAAUAUGAUUUGUGGCUAAUUAUUUUACUCUAUAGUAUACAAAGUUCAUUACGAUUGUUAGCAUAGCAAACUGCGCAUAAGUUAUGAAUUCCUGGAUAAUAUUAAUAUGACGAUAUCGAGACACGACUACCUACUCUACGCGCAGUGUAUGACUGUAUAGCUCACGAUUGUAUAUUUGUAUGUGGUAUAUAUGGUUGCGCUUGGUUAUGUAAUUAUGCGUCCAUCAUAAUAUUAUGUUCUUCUCAAAAAUAUUCAAAACUUAAAGUCUUAGAUAAAAUUAUUAUCUAAGCAUAAUGUAUACCGUGUCUGUAAAUAGCACAACUGUGCUGCAACUUUAUAAUUAUUAUGCACACAACUCAAGCCAACGCGCUCAAUUGCUAUCAUAUCACUAACAAUUAUUUUUUUGCUUUUGUGAUUGUCUUAGAAUACAUAUUUUCCCAACUGUUAUUAUUAUUCGUACACUAUAAACAAUAAUAUUAACAAUAUUAUGUUAGCCGAAAAAAACACCGUUUUCCCGAGUCUUUUCAGACAAACCGGCUGAACGUGACCUUCAUACAAUUACAAGGAACCAGCGCCGGACAUAUCUGGUCCGUUGGGCGUACUACUGCAUGAUGUAGGUGAUGGUAACAGACGGGGCUGUUCAUGGUGAAGAGCACUCGUGACAGCCAAUAUAAAUAUAAAUCAAUCGAACCUCAACCAAUAUCGAGCUAACCCACAACCACCGGAAUUCUUGUACCGGAUCACGUGGUUCGACGGCAACUACCGGACCUGGACCAAGAGCAGGGCGAAGCAGGUUUUCUGGAUUACGGCCCUGAAGAAGGGCUGCCACACCACGGCCUUUCCCAACACGUACUCUAUGUUCCAGACCAGGUCCGGUCGCAUGAAGAUCAGUUGGUUCCGUCCGUACGAUAGCAACAGCCAGGUCCGAAACAUACCUACCACAUCCCUCCUUGACUUGAACCACACGCACCAACAGCCAUGACGGCGAUGUACCUAACAAUAAUUCGACCUCCGAAAAUCUGUCAGUGUGUGUGUGUUUGUGCCAUAAUUGUGUUGAAUAUCAAUCGUCGUUGACAUCAAAAGCUCACUGUCGCGGGUCGACUCAUCAACAUUCACUACGAGAUCGUGUGUGCGUGGGAUGUUUGAAUAAUUAUUUGUUUUUAAGUAAUUUGUUUUCAACUGAUCAAUAAAUGAACGUCAUAUUUUAACGAAA